RNAcentral lists this transfer RNA (1478 nucleotides) under Heterocephalus glaber (naked mole-rat). Its description in RNAcentral is "lncRNA (ENSHGLG00100045814.1)". The stretch from base 7 to 79 matches the Rfam family "tRNA". Lineage: Eukaryota; Metazoa; Chordata; Mammalia; Rodentia; Bathyergidae. The record is from RNAcentral.
AUGCUUGGCUCCAUAGCUCAGGGGUUAGAGCACUGGUCUUGUAAACCAGGGGUCGUGAGUUCAAAUCUCGCUGGGGCCUUAUUAUACUCUUUUGCUAUCUUUGCCUGGAGAAAGAGGCACCGCGCUGUUCCCUGGCUCACUGAUGUCUGAGGAGCUCUGGGAGAGUUCCUUGAGGUUCUUUCCAUUUUCCUUCCGGUGCCUUCAGCGCCCCUUCUCCCCGCUCGGGCAUGACGGCGGGUGUUUCAGCCUCCGCCCUGCUACCUCCAAGCUGUAACAUCUGCUUUUCCUCACUGAGAACUUGCACAUUUAUGAAAAAAAAAAAAAGUGCAAGCAAAAGUUCACAUUCCUGACACCCGGGGCCCAAAGACCACAACUUUGUCAUAUUUGCUUUCAGUCCUUUAAACAAAAGUAAGUGAGCAAAACUGUUUCUUUGCUGAGAGGCAAGUCUCUUGAGCAGUUCCUUCUUUGUGUUUACGUAUCUAUAGCCUUUGUUUACCUGUUGCAGCUGCCGGAGGUAGUGGGUGUGCAGGAGGAGCCUAGACUCUCAGUGAACACCGGAAAGGCGGUCUGAGCCUAACCCUCCGCGCCGGGUCAAGGGGUCCGCCCCCGGAGGAGGGCCAGCCGAAUGGGGCGGAGCCCGUCGGCCUGUAGCUCCGGGUUCGGAACACAGUAUCCAGGCCAGUGCGCCUGGACUGCUGGACCUUCACGGGUGCAGGUGGAAGAAGCUGGCUGUAGGGCGCGUCUCCCCUUUCCUGGAGCCCCAGCUCGCUCAAAAGGCCAAGACUUCGGGUCGAGAUGGAUAUGACUCGCCCCCGGGGCAGGCCACGAGCAGGCAGACACGUACUGGAGCUUGUGUGCCUCGGACUCUUCGACCACGCAGUACCUGUCCCAAAAGGAAGGUGACCUUAUUGUAGAAGCAGGAUGCCAGGACCAACCUCUAGCUGCGUGUGUGUGCGCGUGUAUGUGUGUGUGUGUUUGUGUGAUAGAGACACAGAGAGAGAGAGAGAGAGAGAGAGAGAGACAGACAGACAGACACAUACAGGCAGGCAGGCAGUCCCCCGUAAAAGUUGAACUAGUGAAUGAACCUCAGGCCUUCCAUUCCGGAGGAUUCAGGUCUGGGCGGGACAGCUGUACCCAAGAAAUGACAGCUGAGUAUAAAAGUCUCCUAGGGCUGGUCUGGUGAGGCUCUAGGAGGAAGGUUCAAAGGCUUACAUCCCUGUCCGGGGCAUAAUGGAAUGCAAGGGAAAAAAACAGAUCCGUAAACAAAUUUGAGAAGCCCUGGAGGAAGUGAAACUCAAACAAAACAGCUUGCUUGUGGGACAGCAAAGGCCUACCAGUAACCAGGAGCAUCCUCGCAUCUUUUCAUAGUCACCUAUACCAAAAACUGUGUAAAAGGCCAAUGGACUUCAAUAUCUACAUUGUUUGCCUUAUGGAAACCCUUCUGGAGAAGCUAGGAGCUUUUCCUUUUUAUUCUUUCG